GAGCAAGUCCAAGAGUGCCUCAAAUUGUUGUCCUAAGUUAAAAUUUAGGGCAUUUGAUAAAAAAGACUGCUCCAACAAUGUCCUAGUGAUGCCUUAUAUCACUAGGACAACUCUUUCAAGCCCCAUAUUUGAGGCACUCUCUCUCCUUGCCCUAUCCCAUAUUUUAUAAUAAAUUUCUAUCUACACUUUCUUUCUCUCUCUACUUUAUAUUAUGUUUUAAUGAUGAAAGUGAACUUUUAAUAAUAAAAUAUUAAACAAAUAGAGAAAAUAAGGCACAUUGUUGGAGUUGAAAUUGGUUGAAUAUGUCCUAAACUACUAGGACAUAAUUUUUUAUAUUAUAUUUAGGGCUCCAAC
This 354-nucleotide long non-coding RNA is filed under the name Daucus carota (carrot). Its description in RNAcentral is "long non-coding RNA (DCAR_LNC003879)". Lineage: Eukaryota; Viridiplantae; Streptophyta; Magnoliopsida; Apiales; Apiaceae. The record is from RNAcentral.